UGGGGAAUAUUGGACAAUGGGCGCAAGCCUGAUCCAGCCAUGCCGCGUGAGUGAUGAAGGCCCUAGGGUUGUAAAGCUCUUUCACCGGUGAAGAUAAUGACGGUAACCGGAGAAGAAGCCCCGGCUAACUUCGUGCCAGCAGCCGCGGUAAUACGAAGGGGGCUAGCGUUGUUCGGAUUUACUGGGCGUAAAGCGCACGUAGGAGGACUAUUAAGUCAGGGGUGAAAUCCCGGGGCUCAACCCCGGAACUGCCUUUGAUACUGGUAGUCUUGAGUUCGAGAGAGGUGAGUGGAAUUCCGAGUGUAGAGGUGAAAUUCGUAGAUAUUCGGAGGAACACCAGUGGCGAAGGCGGCUCACUGGCUCGAUACUGACGCUGAGGUGCGAAAGCGUGGGGAGCAAACAGG
RNAcentral lists this ribosomal RNA (404 nucleotides) under Actinomycetes bacterium. Its description in RNAcentral is "Actinobacteria bacterium partial 16S ribosomal RNA". It matches the Rfam family "Bacterial small subunit ribosomal RNA", at positions 355 to 776 of the family's 1533-position model. Lineage: Bacteria; Bacillati; Actinomycetota; Actinomycetes. The record is from RNAcentral.